AACUAUCAAAACACUUUUCUUAAAGUGUUUUGGACUUUGGGAGCAUUGUGCUGGUUUGUUUGAGCCAGCUCUCCUCAAAAGCAUAUUAGCUUUGGAGACCAUCAGUGUGAUAAUUUGUUUACACUGGCUUCUCCUUUUAAAUUGUGCC
Molecule: unclassified non-coding RNA, 148 nt
Filed under: uncultured Amanita
Lineage: Eukaryota; Fungi; Basidiomycota; Agaricomycetes; Agaricales; Amanitaceae
Description: sequence contains ITS2
Source: RNAcentral